Molecule: ribosomal RNA, 499 nt
Filed under: uncultured bacterium
Lineage: Bacteria
Description: bacterial SSU rRNA
Rfam family: Bacterial small subunit ribosomal RNA
Source: RNAcentral
GAUGAACGCUAGCGGCAGGCUUAACACAUGCAAGUCGAGGGGUAGGUUACUUCGGUAAUUGAGACCGGCGCACGGGUGCGUAACGCGUAUACAAUCUACCUUUUACAGAGGGAUAGCCCAGAGAAAUUUGGAUUAAUACCUCAUAGUAUUUUUGAAUCGCAUGAUUUGAUUAUUAAAGUUCCAACGGUAAAAGAUGAGUAUGCGUCCCAUUAGCUAGAUGGUAAGGUAACGGCUUACCAUGGCUACGAUGGGUAGGGGUCCUGAGAGGGAGAUCCCCCCACACUGGUACUGAGACACGGACCAGACUCCUACGGGAGGCAGCAGUGAGGAAUAUUGGACAAUGGGCGCAAGCCUGAUCCAGCCAUGCCGCGUGCAGGAUGACGGUCCUAUGGAUUGUAAACUGCUUUUAUACAGGAAGAAACACUCCGACGUGUCGGAGCUUGACGGUACUGUAAGAAUAAGGAUCGGCUAACUCCGUGCCAGCAGCCGCGGUAAAGUG